AACGCACAUUGCGCCCGCCAGUAUUCUGGCGGGCAUGCCUGUUCGAGCGUCAUUUCAACCCUCAAGCCCCAGCGGUUUGGUGUUGGGGACCGGCGAGUACAGAGGCUUUGGGGACUUUGUCCCCCUUCCCUCGGCGCCGCCCCCGAAAUGAAUUGGCGGUCUCGUCGCGGCCUCCUCUGCGUAGUAGCACAACCUCGCAUCAGGAGCGCGGCGCGGCCACUGCCGUAAAACGCCCAACUUUUUUUUUUAAGAGUUGACCUCGAAUCAGGUAGGAAUACCCGCUGAACUUAA
This 291-nucleotide unclassified non-coding RNA is filed under the name uncultured fungus. Its description in RNAcentral is "partial contains 5.8S ribosomal RNA, internal transcribed spacer 2, and large subunit ribosomal RNA". The stretch from base 1 to 52 matches the Rfam family "5.8S ribosomal RNA", at positions 103 to 154 of the family's 154-position model. Lineage: Eukaryota; Fungi. The record is from RNAcentral.